GGCUUCUUAGUACAGUUGGCAGCAUGUCAGUCUCAUAUUCUGAAAGUCCUGAGUUCAAGCCUCAGAGAGGGCA
RNAcentral lists this transfer RNA (73 nucleotides) under Chelonia mydas (Green sea turtle). It matches the Rfam family "tRNA". From Rfam's summary of the family: Transfer RNA (tRNA) molecules are approximately 80 nucleotides in length. Lineage: Eukaryota; Metazoa; Chordata; Testudines; Cheloniidae. The record is from Rfam by way of RNAcentral.